This 502-nucleotide ribosomal RNA is filed under the name uncultured bacterium. Its description in RNAcentral is "partial 16S ribosomal RNA". It matches the Rfam family "Bacterial small subunit ribosomal RNA", at positions 30 to 523 of the family's 1533-position model. The record is from RNAcentral.
AUUGAACGCUGGCGGCAUGCCUUACACAUGCAAGUCGAACGGCAGCAUAGGAGCUUGCUCCUGAUGGCGAGUGGCGAACGGGUGAGUAAUAUAUCGGAACGUGCCCUAGAGUGGGGGAUAACUAGUCGAAAGACUAGCUAAUACCGCAUACGAUCUACGGAUGAAAGUGGGGGAUCGCAAGACCUCAUGCUCCUGGAGCGGCCGAUAUCUGAUUAGCUAGUUGGUGGGGUAAAAGCUCACCAAGGCGACGAUCAGUAGCUGGUCUGAGAGGACGACCAGCCACACUGGGACUGAGACACGGCCCAGACUCCUACGGGAGGCAGCAGUGGGGAAUUUUGGACAAUGGGGGCAACCCUGAUCCAGCAAUGCCGCGUGAGUGAAGAAGGCCUUCGGGUUGUAAAGCUCUUUUGUCAGGGAAGAAACGGUUCUGGAUAAUACCUGGGACUAAUGACGGUACCUGAAGAAUAAGCACCGGCUAACUACGUGCCAGCCGCCGCGGUAA